GACGAAGGAUGCAAGCGUUAUCCGGAUUCAUUGGGUUUAAAGGGAGCGUAGGUGGUCUUAUAAGUCAGUGGUGAAAUCUCCGGGCUUAACCCAGAAAUUGCCAUUGAUACUGUAGGACUUGAGUAUAGUUGCCGUUGGCGGAAUAUGACAUGUAGUGGUGAAAUACAUAGAGAUGUCAUAGAACACCGAUUGCGAAGGCAGCUGACGAAACUAUAACUGACACUGAGGCUCGAAAGUGCGGGGAUCAAACAGG
This 253-nucleotide ribosomal RNA is filed under the name uncultured bacterium. RNAcentral describes it as "partial 16S ribosomal RNA". It matches the Rfam family "Bacterial small subunit ribosomal RNA", at positions 524 to 776 of the family's 1533-position model. The record is from RNAcentral.